This 97-nucleotide microRNA precursor is filed under the name Felis catus (domestic cat). Its description in RNAcentral is "mir-544 microRNA precursor family". It matches the Rfam family "mir-544 microRNA precursor family". The record is from Rfam by way of RNAcentral. Lineage: Eukaryota; Metazoa; Chordata; Mammalia; Carnivora; Felidae.
ACCACCUGAGUGUCUUGUUAGAAUGCAGGUUCUGAUCCAGUAGGACUGGGGUAGGCCCAAGAUUCUGCAUUUCUGACAAGCCCCCAGGUGAUGCCCA